UUGGAGUAGUAAUAUUAAUGAAAUUUAACGGAUUUGGCGGCAAGAUAGCCCCUUAGAGGAACCUGCCCUGUAAACGAUGAACCACGAUGGACUCUACUUUUUUUGGUAAUCAGUUUGUAUAUCGCUGUUGUCAGUUAGAUUCUUGAGAAUAUUUUCGUUCAUGAAAAGUUCAUUGACUUCAAGUAAAGGUGCAGCUUAUAAGAAAGAUAGAGGUGGGUUACAUUUAUAAGAGUAAGACGGAGAGGAUGAUUGAAAUAGUCCUUGAAGGUGGAUUUAACUGUAAAACUUAAUUAGGUUUGGUGAGAGCUC
This 309-nucleotide ribosomal RNA is filed under the name Tesseropora pacifica. Its description in RNAcentral is "partial 12S ribosomal RNA". Lineage: Eukaryota; Metazoa; Arthropoda; Thecostraca; Balanomorpha; Tetraclitidae. The record is from RNAcentral.